This is a long non-coding RNA of Arachis duranensis, 1725 nucleotides long. RefSeq lists it as uncharacterized. The transcript is spliced from 3 exons. The record is from RefSeq and is a predicted model, not a curated record. Lineage: Eukaryota; Viridiplantae; Streptophyta; Magnoliopsida; Fabales; Fabaceae.
ACUCUUACCCCUCCCAUUAUAUAAAUCCUUCAACCUACAGCCUUACAUACACACUUAUCUUCCAUGUUUCAUCUUAAUUACAUUUCAUUAUUUCAUCAUACAGAGAAACAACAAUACCCUGAUGAGAAAACUAAGUCCGAGGUGAGAUGAUGAGAGAACACAGAGAAAACCAAAGCGACGGUGAGUGCGAGGGUUUUCAACGGCGAGAAGUGAGUUAUAGAAAAAGAAACGUCCAACAUCUCCAAGAGAGUUAUAAAAUAAUUCCGACAUUGCAUACUCCUUUGGCUUGAUUUUGUUCAUAUUAAGAUGUUCAAUCUUGCAUUUUUUUUGUUCGGAUUAUUCCUUUUCAAAUUGAUAUAUGGAUUACGGUUCAAUUAGAUUAUGGAAUUAUUAUUGAUUCAUGCUUUCUUGAUUAUGACAAGUUCCAACUAGUUUUUUUGACAUACAUUGGUUUGGCUCUAUUUUUGUACUUGUUAUAAGAACAAAAAAUAUUAAAAGUAUAUAGUAUACCUGUUAGAAUCCUCUAAGCGGUUCUCCAAAAUUGAAGAGGGAGCCAUUGUUAUUGUUAGUUUUAAUAUAAUGUGUCACUGAUCUAUCACUUGCGUUUGACUUUAUCAGUUGUAUAUAACUUGUGUAUGGCUCAAUAUAAAGCUAAGAUUACCCUCCAAGACAUGGUCCCUUUCAGUCUUGUCAUCUAUGACUUGUUCCAUUUCCUCCAUCAGGUGAUGGAGUUUCAUUAUCCUUCUUUUCUCCUCUAAGUAAUUUUCAAAGCACCUCUUCAUAUGAUAUAUACUCUGCCUCAAUGCAUCCAGCAUGUUCUCUGUUAUAGAAUUUGUGCGCUUCAACUUCAGUGUUGAAGAAGAAGCAGCAGCCAUUUCUGAAAAAGUUCCUGUCACAAAACAAUAGCUCAUCUUCAGGCUGCAUGUUUCUUCAACACAUCUGACAAAUUGAUUUCACAUCUUUAAAACCAAAUUCAGUUGGCAGAUGCAAAAGAUGUAUUGGAAGGCAUUUAAGAUGCGAAAGGUAUUAGUUUUCCUAUAUUAACUCCAAACCUCAAAGUAAGAUAUAUAUGCUUUAAAAAUUAUUAUUUCCAUCAUAGUAAGUUAUAUAAUCAGCCAUUUGACUAAUUUGAACUCUGUGGUUUGAGUUCUAUUUAUUUUUUUUUUGCUAAAUUCUGUGAUUUAAAUUCUGUUUAUUUUAUUUCUCAAAUAAAUUGUUGCUUCAACUUGGUGGGUGCUUUUCUCCAUAUAUAUGCAUGCUCGAUUGAUUAUUUUUUAGCAUACCAUUCAUGAUGGAGGAGAUGUUCUGGUCUAUGAGUGACAUCAGACUAUCAGAUAUAGAAGUGGAUCCACUACCAAUCUUCAAUCAAAGAUGAGUAGUGAGACAGAAUUGUGCUGUAUCUGCUUUGAGCAAGUUUGCACAAUUGAAGUCCAACAUUGUGGCCACCAAAUGUGUGCACAAUGGAUACUAGCAUGGAAAGAAUGAUAUACUGUAUAAUGUAAUAUAUUGAAAAGUAAGCAAAGUUACUUGAGAAUGAAGAAGCAUCACCUGCAUCGAUGAUUUUGGGCAUGAUCAAAUCAAAUGGAUAUUGUGUAUAAUUAAGUAUUCAAGUAAAGUGAGAAAUUCUUUUUCUCGGCAAGUAGCCAGAAAGUCUAAGAUCAUGUGAAAAUAUAUUGUAUUUGCUUCUUAUUUGUUUGUGUAUCAAAAUAUUCAAUAAUCAAUAAU